This 245-nucleotide ribosomal RNA is filed under the name uncultured bacterium. RNAcentral's name for it is "partial 16S ribosomal RNA". It matches the Rfam family "Bacterial small subunit ribosomal RNA", at positions 524 to 768 of the family's 1533-position model. The record is from RNAcentral.
UACGGAGGAUCCAAGCGUUAUCCGGAUUCACUGGGUUUAAAGGGUGUGUAGGCGGGGCAUUAAGUCAGUGGUGAAAUCCUGUUGCUCAACAACAGAACUGCCAUAGAAACUGAUGCUCUUGAAUGUAGUUGAGGUAAGCGGAAUGUGUGGUGUAGCGGUGAAAUGCUUAGAUAUCACACAGAACACCAAUUGCGAAGGCAGCUUGCUAAGCUACGAUUGACGCUGAGACACGAAAGCGUGGGGAU